GGAGUGUUGUAGAAAGAGGAGGAGAAAUGGGCAGUGGCUGGACAGGGGAGUUGGAACAAGAAAGAACUCUUCUUAAAGGAGCCACCAGAGAGGCACAGAAGUCACCUCACAAGGCCUAAGGAAACAGCAAAAUCAUUCUUCGUGGAUACCGCCUUCAUGUGAUAUGAUGAAGAUGACCAAUGAAAAUCUAUAAACUACUCAAAGCUCCCUUAAAUGAUAAACUGUAGAGGUGGGUAAGGAUAAUAUACCCUUUAAUAUUAGAUCUCACCAACAUUAAGCUAUCUUGAUUGAUGAAGUUUUGAUUUCCUUUCAUUAUAGGAAUUUUUCUCCAAAUUCCUCUAAAAUCUAUGUAAAAUGCUUAGUAUGUUGACUUACUUGAAUUGCUAUAAUAAUUUUUAAUAUUUAUUUAUUUAUUUAUUUAGAGACAGGGUCUGGCUCUGUCACCUAGGCGGGA
Molecule: long non-coding RNA, 454 nt
Filed under: Homo sapiens (human)
Lineage: Eukaryota; Metazoa; Chordata; Mammalia; Primates; Hominidae
Description: HSALNT0360614
Source: RNAcentral